Molecule: ribosomal RNA, 715 nt
Filed under: Seison sp. MS-2015
Lineage: Eukaryota; Metazoa; Rotifera; Pararotatoria; Seisonacea; Seisonidae
Description: s-rRNA
Source: RNAcentral
UGAUUAUAAAUUUAGGUUUAUUUUUUAUUUUAAGUUUUUUUAUAAAUAUGAAUUUUUUUGAAAAAGUUUUUUUCUGGGAUAGUAUUGUAAUCCGGCUUAUUUAAUAUUUAUAUUUACCACACAAUUGAUAGAUUUGUGUAGAAUUUUUUUUAUUGGUAAUUAAUAGCGUGCCAGCAAUUGCGGUUAAACGGGUACCAAAAUAAAAAUAGGUUUUGGCUAAGGUCUAAGGUUUAAAAUUUUUUAGUAAAAUAAGUAUAUUUUUAUUUUUAGGCUUGUGGUAAAUUUAUAGAAGAAUAGGAUUAGAGACCCUAGUAUUGUAAUAUAAAUUUUUAGAUUAGUAUGUUUUGAAAAUUAAUAAUUUUGGCGGUUUCUUAUUUUCAGAGGAUUCUGUUGUUUAGGAGAUGAUGCGCUGUUUUUUGUAAAUUAUUUUUAGUUUAUGUAUAUUCGUGGUAAAAUUGUGCUUAGAGGUCAUUAUUGGAAAAUAGUUUUUAUUUCAGAUCAAUAUGUAGCUUAUAUAAUUUAUACGUAUGGAAUACAUUUAGUAGUCUUUUUUCUUGGCUUAUUAGUGAGUCAAGUAGAUUGGAUUUGAUAGUAAAUUAGUUAUAUUAUAAAUUUUUGAAAUUUAAAUUAAGAUGUACACAUAUCGCCCGUCGUUCUCGGUGAAAACUGAGGUAAGUCGUAACAUAGUAAGUCUACUAGAAAGUGGACUUGAAAU